UGGGGAAUAUUGCACAAUGGAGGGAACUCUGAUGCAGCGACGCCGCGUGAACGAAGAAGGCUUUCGAGUCGUAAAGUUCUUUUAUGUGGGAAGAUAAUGACGGUACCAUAAGAAAAAGCCCCGGCUAACUACGUGCCAGCAGCCGCGGUAAUACGUUGGGGGCUAGCGUUGUCCGGAAUCACUGGGCGUAAAGGGUUCGCAGGCGGAAAGGCAAGUCAGGUGUAAAAGGCAGUAGCUUAACUACUGUAAGCAUUUGAAACUGCAUAUCUUGAGAGGAGUAGAGGUAAGUGGAAUUUUUAGUGUAGCGGUGAAAUGCGUAGAUAUUAAAAAGAAUACCGGUGGCGAAGGCGACUUACUGGGCUCAUUCUGACGCUGAGGAACGAAAGCGUGGGUAGCAAACAGG
Molecule: ribosomal RNA, 403 nt
Filed under: Chloroflexota bacterium
Lineage: Bacteria; Bacillati; Chloroflexota
Description: Chloroflexi bacterium partial 16S ribosomal RNA
Rfam family: Bacterial small subunit ribosomal RNA
Source: RNAcentral